GAUGAAGAACGUAGCGAAAUGCGAUACGUAAUGUGAAUUGCAGAAUUCAGUGAAUCAUCGAGUCUUUGAACGCACAUUGCGCCCCCUGGUAUUCCGGGGGGCAUGCCUGUCCGAGCGUCAUUGCUGCCCUCAAGCACGGCUUGUGUGUUGGGCCUCCGUCCUCCUCCCGGGGGACGGGCCCGAAAGGCAGCGGCGGCACCGCGUCCGGUCCUCGAGCGUAUGGGGCUUCGUCACCCGCUCUUGUAGGCCCGGCCGGCGCUUGCCGACACAUCAAUCUUUUUUCCAGGUUGACCUCAGAUCAGGUAGGGAUAUCCGCUGAACUUAAGCAUAUCAAUAAGCGGAGGA
RNAcentral lists this unclassified non-coding RNA (345 nucleotides) under soil metagenome. RNAcentral's name for it is "partial contains 5.8S ribosomal RNA, internal transcribed spacer 2, and large subunit ribosomal RNA". The stretch from base 1 to 120 matches the Rfam family "5.8S ribosomal RNA", at positions 35 to 154 of the family's 154-position model. The record is from RNAcentral.